Molecule: ribosomal RNA, 401 nt
Filed under: Morchella sp.
Lineage: Eukaryota; Fungi; Ascomycota; Pezizomycetes; Pezizales; Morchellaceae
Description: partial large subunit ribosomal RNA
Rfam family: Eukaryotic large subunit ribosomal RNA
Source: RNAcentral
GUCCCCGUCCAUGUGAGGUGUCUUCGACGAGUCGAGUUGUUUGGGAAUGCAGCUCAAAAUGGGUGGUAAAUUUCAUCUAAAGCUAAAUAUUGGUGGGAGACCGAUAGCGCACAAGUAGAGUGAUCGAAAGAUGAAAAGCACUUUGAAAAUAGAGUUAAAAAGUACGUGAAAUUGUUGAAAGGGAAGCGCUUGAGACCAGACUUCGGUAAGGGGUGAUCAGCCGUCCUUCUGGGCGGUGCACUUGCCCCCCUCCGGGCCAGCAUCGGUUGAGGCGGCGGGAUAAAGGUCCCGGGAAUGUGGCUCCUUCACGGGAGUGUUAUAGCCCGGGUGAAUGCCGCCAGCUUCGACCGAGGACCGCACCCGCAAGGGUUAGGAUGCUUGGCAUAAUGGUCUUCAGCGAC